GACGAACCGUGCGACCGUUGUUCGGAAUCACUGGGCUUAAAGGGCGCGUAGGCGGGCCAUAAAGUCAGGGGUGAAAUCCUCCAGCUUAACUGGAGAACUGCCUUUGAUACUGAUGGUCUCGAGUAAGGUAGGGGCAUGCGGAACUGAUGGUGGAGCGGUGAAAUGUGUUGAUAUCAUCAGGAACUCCGGUGGCGAAGGCGGCAUGCUGGACCUUCACUGACGCUGAGGCGCGAAAGCUAGGGUAGCGAACGGG
This 253-nucleotide ribosomal RNA is filed under the name uncultured bacterium. RNAcentral's name for it is "partial 16S ribosomal RNA". It matches the Rfam family "Bacterial small subunit ribosomal RNA", at positions 524 to 776 of the family's 1533-position model. The record is from RNAcentral.